AAUGGGCGCAAGCCUGAUGGAGCAAUGCCGCGUGCAGGAAGACGCUUUUCGGAGUGUAAACUGCUUUUCUGAAGGAAGAUUAUGACGGUACUUCAGGAAUAAGGAUCGGCUAACUACGUGCCAGCAGCCGCGGUAAUACGUAGGAUCCAAGCGUUAUCCGGAAUUACUGGGCGUAAAGCGUGCGCAGACGGUUUGAUAGGUCAGUUGCGAAAUCCCAUGGCUCAACCAUGUGGACUGUAAUUGAAACCAUCUGACUAGAGGUAGGUAGAGGCAAGUGGAAUUUCUGGUGUAGGGGUGACAUCCGUAGAUAUCAGAAGGAACACCAAUGGCGAAGGCAGCUUGCUGGGCCUUACCUGACGUUCAGGCACGAAAGCGUGGGGAGCAAA
Molecule: ribosomal RNA, 386 nt
Filed under: uncultured bacterium
Lineage: Bacteria
Description: bacterial SSU rRNA
Rfam family: Bacterial small subunit ribosomal RNA
Source: RNAcentral